ACCCCGAGGCUAUCAGCACCCCACGGGCCGCGCUUUACCCCAUUGCUCCUCGCUCCUGAGCCAGCGCCGCGGACACGGAGCGCUCCCGGCCGGCGAAAAGCAGCUUCAGGGUCGGGAGAAGAGGAUCGAUCGCUGCCACGAGAGCGCCGGAACGCGGCGGGGCCGUUCCCAUCACCCUGGAGCCCUUCGCCGGGCGAACCGGGCCCGGCCGCGUCAAUCCUGCGGGGCUCAGCCCCGACAGAGCGGCCCGCUCCUCUCUGCGUUCCGGACCGGACGAGGCCCGGGAGAGGUGCGAAAGCCACAUAACGACCAAGGGACGGGGCUGAGCACUCUGUGCUGGGAGCUCUCUACAGCCCGCGAAUACCGAGGGGUGGGUUUGGGGUUUAUUUCUUUGCAUCCACGAGUUCUUCAGAUAACAACGGUAAAGAAACGCCGCAGAGCUGCCCGAGCCUGAGAACUUCGGAGACGCCGGACCGCAGCGGGACCGCAGCGGGACCCCAGCUCAGUGCUGCCGGGCUGCGAGCCUAAAGUCUCGUACCUCCCUACCCCGUUCCGGAGGUCCGGUGCCCCCCGCAGCUCCCGGCCCACAGCGCUGGUGCUCCGCUCCCGACAGGGGGCGGCCUCGGCCGCUGCAGCCCCCGGGGGGCGCCGGGCGGCCGCUGCCCUCCGACGGCACCUCCCGCUGCCCCCAGCGCUCUUCUCGCCCUCCCGGAGCGGGAGGAGGCACCUGCGCCCGGGGGUUCGGCCCCGCCGCACGCAGCAGCUGACGGGCUGCCAUCAACAACAAAAAUGGGAAAAGAGGAAAAAAAAAAAAAAAAAGUGGGAAAGAAAAAAAAAGGCUCGCCGGCAGCACGGCGGGAUUGGAUUGGCCAUCGGGAGCGCGAGGCACCGUUUUCAACUUUGUAGGGCCGCAGAGAUCGGGUUGUGGUAUUUAAUGCACCCCAUGCGGAGCCCGCGCUCGUUGCCGAGAUGAAGGGGGCGGCUUUACGCCUGUGAUCGUGUUUUACACGGGGCGUCUGGAGAGCCGCGAGGGCAUCUGGAGCGCCGGCAGCGCUGCUACCUGCGGGCGGGCGGCACCGCGACCGCGGCUCCGGGCAGAGGGGGCGGCCGGGGGCUGUCCGCGGGGGGCGGCCGCCUCGGAGCGCCGUGCGCGGGGCCGGGGAGCCCCCGGGGAGGACGCGCACCUCCGGCCCCCGCGGCCCGGGGGAGCGUCGGGGCUCGGUCCUCCUGAACUCUGGGUGACCCACCGAGUUAGCAUACAAUUGCCAACGACAAACAAACAAACAAGGAAAAGGCUCGCCAA
Molecule: long non-coding RNA, 1303 nt
Organism: Gallus gallus (chicken)
Lineage: Eukaryota; Metazoa; Chordata; Aves; Galliformes; Phasianidae
Exons: 2
Source: RefSeq, a predicted model, not a curated record